CACUCUGGAAAAUGUAUAAGCUGCCGGGAAUACAUAUCAUGGAGCAACAAAGCAGAAUGUGAUCCAUGAACUAAAGCGAGAUGUUAGUCAUAAAAUUAAGGCAUCCAUCUAAAUAAUUUUCAGAACAUUAACUGUUGCAAUGAGUUAUGCUUAUGUUCUUUUAUGUGGAACAGGAUAUAAUCUGAUGCUAGUUCAAUAUCAUAAAGAGUUAAGGCCAAACUAAUAUAGGUUGAGAAUUUUCCAAUUACAUGAUGAAUGAAAUUAUGAAAUGAAAUCAUUAAUUUGGCGAUCAAGGUUAGGAUGAAGCAGGUGCAAGUUGGGGGUAAAAUACACAUGUAAAAAUUGAAGAGUGGGACAAAAGUUGUGUUUUUCAAUAUAUCAAACACGUGCAAGGCAUGAAUAUUGAUUAUGCUAACUAGGUUUCAGGAAUAUUAAUAAGAUUGUUAUUAACAAACGCAAAUUCAGAAUUUUAUGGUGAAAAUAGUAGAUACAACAACUGCAAAAAUAAAUACAAUAAUCAGAGAGACAGAGAGGAACUUACACGAAGAGAAUGGCGCAGUAGCGGGCUCGGC
Molecule: non-coding RNA, 572 nt
Organism: Arachis ipaensis
Lineage: Eukaryota; Viridiplantae; Streptophyta; Magnoliopsida; Fabales; Fabaceae
Source: RefSeq, a predicted model, not a curated record